This is a long non-coding RNA of Eriocheir sinensis (Chinese mitten crab), 1061 nucleotides long. RefSeq lists it as uncharacterized. Lineage: Eukaryota; Metazoa; Arthropoda; Malacostraca; Decapoda; Varunidae. The transcript is spliced from 3 exons. The record is from RefSeq and is a predicted model, not a curated record.
CUGUUUGUCUCCGCCAGCAACAAGAAGAGCAGAAUAGAUAGUUGAAGGAACCAUUGUCAAGGUAUUCCUGAAUCGGUUAUCGGCUGCUUGUCUUAGUUUCGACAGAAACGGGCUUUACUAUUUGAUGCUCAGCCCUUGUUGUGUUCUAAACCUGUCUAACAAGACUCUCAGCCGUUCAAAUCAUAACGUAUAGUAUAAUUACGGUUUAUUACCGUUAGUUAUUUAAUUGAUUAAUUGUUACUUAUUUAUUGAGUUUAUUACUGUUAACCUCUAUGUUUUGUUGCUGAUGUGUAUCACGUUACGAAGUGGAUCGAGGGUCUUCCAGGCAUCAGUGUGAGGAGCUGCUUUCCCUGAAAAAAAAAGGGGUUCUGGGCCCGUGUUGUCUGUUUGGCUGGCAAAGCCCGAAGGCCUUACACAGCCGGAUGGUCUUCCGCCGGCGUUCCUUAAGAUUUGCUAUAAAUGAGAAUCUUAAGCGCCAAGUUCGUGGCUGGGUUUUCGAUGACCUGCAACGUUUGUUGACGAAGUAAAAUGAAAGAAGUAAUUAGAAAUGUAUUGUUUAUUUGUUUCUUUGUGUUUGACAGGAGUAACCCUUAGUUGUUGUCGUUAUCUUCCGUCGGGUGAAGCGUUGCCCAUUGUCACCCGCGGUGAAAGUGUCUGUAUCCCGUCGAAUGCACUGGCGCAGCCACAGCCGCGGGCAAAGCCAGGCUAGGAAUCAGCCUCUGGCUCGUUUAUCCAUAAUAAUGUCCGCCGUAGCCGCCGCGGCCACCACCGAAUCCGCCACCAAAGAAGCCACGUCCACCAAAGCUUCCGAAGUGACCGGGCUCAGGGUCGGCAUCGGCGCUCCUCUUUCCACGGUAGUAACCACCCCCAUGUCCGCCAAAGCCGCCAAAGCCGCCAAAGCCACCGCCACCAAAGCCGCGGAAGCGUCCGGGCUCAGCCUCGGGCUGAGGCUCUGGGUCGGCAUCGGCGCUCCUCUUUCCGCGGUAGUAACCACCGCCAUGUCCGCCAAAGCCGCCAAAGCCGCCAAAGCCACCGCCACCAAAGCCGCGGAAGCGUCCGGG